UUCACUUUAAAAAAGUCACAGCUAUUUUUACCAAUCAUGCUUUCAUUUAAUUCUACAGUCUAAAUUCUACAGCCUAAAUUCUACAGCUACAACAGAAAAAUCUACAGAUAAAUUUCUACAGCUAAAAUCCUAAAGCUACAGCCGCAACCAAUCAGACCCUAUAACACCCAUAUUCAAUAGAAAGUAGGUUGAUCUUUAUUGAGUCUUUGCCUUUAUAAUGACUCUAUGAGAACUAAACAAACUACUUAAACUGAACUAAAACAAAAAAUGGCUUCCAACUUUAACUUUUCCUCCUCUCAGUCCUUUACCAAUCUGUUGUUCAGCCAAGAAGAAAACCCAAUCCUUCUCAGUCCUUCACAUCCUCCUUGUUCUGAAUCCCAAACACCCACAGCCUUAGCUAGGGCACUUGCAAGUGCCUGGCUCAACACAUCCAAAGACUCAGUUGUGGGGAAUGAGCAGAGAUCAUCUGCCUUUUGGGAUAGGGUUGCAACAUAUUAUGUUGCAUGUCCUGCUGUCUCUAAGCUCACCAUCCGAGAGGCAAACACUUGUAAGCAAACACUUGUAAGCAUAAAUGGCAAAAAUGAAUGAGCUUGUCAUGAAAUAUGUUGGCUGCUACGAGUAUGCCUCUCGGACUCCUGGCAGUGGAGAGACUGAAGAUGAUAUUCUAGUGCUGGCCUACAAGCUUUACCACCAGGAUCAAAAAAACCAAAUUCAGUCUUGAGCAUGUGUAGAGAAUCUUCAAGACUGAUCAGAAAUGGUGCAAUUGGUAUGAGACAAAAAUCAAACCUGUCAAGAAGAAAGCUAAACUUUCUGAGGUAGAAGAAGAGAGUGUUCAAAGGCCUAUAGGGGUCAAGGCAGCCAAGGCUUUAGCCAAGUCCAAAGGUAAGGGAAAGAGCCAAGUUUCUGAGGCUGGUUCUGUGGCUGAACUUAAGGGUUUGUGGGAAGUGAAGGAGAAAGAUUAUGCUGUCAAAGAGAGACUCGCUAAGCAGAAGCUACUUGACAGCCUUCUUGGAAGGUCUAAUUGUUUGGGUGACAUGGAAAUUGAACUUAAGAACACUCUU
This 1061-nucleotide long non-coding RNA is filed under the name Arabidopsis lyrata. RNAcentral's name for it is "long non-coding RNA (ALYR_LNC001957)". Lineage: Eukaryota; Viridiplantae; Streptophyta; Magnoliopsida; Brassicales; Brassicaceae. The record is from RNAcentral.